RNAcentral lists this long non-coding RNA (1665 nucleotides) under Pelobates cultripes (western spadefoot toad). Lineage: Eukaryota; Metazoa; Chordata; Amphibia; Anura; Pelobatidae. The record is from RNAcentral.
CUGUGACUCACACAGCCUACAUUUUUAAUUAUAUCUGACAGCACAGUGUGUUUACAUUAGACGUUUUUAUCCUUUUUAUCCCUGUUAAUUGAACUUUAAUCACACACUGGCGGCUUCUGCAGGCUCUGACUGGCAAUUAAUAGAGCAGAAGACAAGAAAUUCUAAAUCAAACAGACUGUGCAAUAAAUUAAGAUUAAACUUUAGUUCUCACUUUACAAGAAAUGUUUAGGGCAACUGUGUAGGUUACAGCCAGGGAAGAUGUGACUUGGGCUGCAUAAACAAAAUGAUUUAACUCCUUAAUGGCAGAUAAUUAAAACUAUAGAAUGCAGGGGCAUGAUCUGUGCACUUCAUUAAGCUAUUACGUUAUUUUGGUGUGUAUGGGGUCCCUUUAAGCCAAUAUGCUUUGCUUGGACAACUAUGGCAGUUUACAAUAGAGAUAAUGUAACCAGCACCAGUAACUUACUUACAACGUGUAAUAGGAUGGCUUGAAAGGUUGUUUGUUUUAAGAAGGUAAGUGUACAGGCACAGGGGUAAAAAAUCUUCAAUAAAGAUUCAACAUUUAAUUUAUUUUUUUAAUUUUUACAAAUGUGAAUUUACAAACAGCAUAUUUAGUUGUGUGUAAGGUAAGCACAUUUUUGGAUUUGUUGGUACACAGCAGAUAUAAAGUAGACUGCAGAAACAAAUCUGUUUUUAUCUCCAAACUUUAAGAUUCAGUUAAGAGUAUUUUUUGUCUGACUUGUUUCUUUUAAGGAAUUUUGGUACAUUUUGUUGUAUUUGAGGUUCUGAAAAUAAUAAAUGCAGUUGGGUGUCUAUUUACCACAAUAAAGUACUAUAAAGUACUGAUACAGGCCAUGUUUUAAAAUAACACCGAGAGAUAUGCUGACUGUUUUCUUUGCAGGGUUAACCUGCCUCUACUGUCAUACUGACAGCCACUAGCUGCUACCACAAAACAGUGGAGGAAAAUGACACUAUUUCAAACAGACUGUCUCAGAGAGACCAUUUGGCGCAGCGUAGCGUUUUUUCUAUGUGAAAAAAAUUGGAUUGUGAGAUCAUCUAGAUCAAUGAGGUGGAGCAUCUUUAACCCCUUAAGGACCACACUUCUGGUAUAAAAGGGAAUCAUGACAUGUCACACAUGUCGUGUGUCCUUAAGGGGUUACGGAGAUUGGAACUUCGAGGAAGAAAAGCCAAGUGAAAUAAAAAAUUUUUAUCCUCUCUGGGCCCCUGUCAUGUAUACAGUGCCUAGGGCACUAUAGUGUUAGGAACACAUAUUUGUUGGGAAUGCAUUACCAGAAUAUAUAGUGUUCCUUUAACUUGAUGUCUGCUCCUGAAGAGGACUUUGUGGAAGAAGAUGGUGGUGCACGCAAGGGACAGGUUAAGGCCACUAAAACUACCUUCCCCGGCACUCCUCGGCCACUGGAAUGUAAAUGCAGCCAUCACCGCCCCGGUCUUUGCAAAAUAUGUAAACACCCCAGAAGGUGACAGAGCCAUUUUAAAUAUAUGUAUUUCAGUGGGUCUACAGAUGCAAUGGUGAUGUCACUCCACUAACCUCAGACGCUGUUUUUUUUCUUUUACAUUUUCCUGUUUGUUUUUUUGCAUCAGGAAGUAUGGAAGAUCCUCUCGGCAGGAGGGGGUCCACAUCUUGGUGCCCAUUAUACCUAUGAAAAU